RNAcentral lists this ribosomal RNA (314 nucleotides) under uncultured Bacillota bacterium. Its description in RNAcentral is "bacterial SSU rRNA". It matches the Rfam family "Bacterial small subunit ribosomal RNA", at positions 28 to 351 of the family's 1533-position model. Lineage: Bacteria; Bacillati; Bacillota. The record is from RNAcentral.
GACGAACGCUGGCGGCGUGCCUAAUACAUGCAAGUCGAGCGAGGAGCUUUUAGCUCCUAGCGGCGAACGGGUGAGUAACACGUGGGCAACCUGCCCGUAAGACUGGGAUAACUUCGGGAAACCGGAGCUAAUACUGGAUAAUCUUGAUCUUCGCAUGAAGGACAAGUAAAAGAUUUAUCACUUACGGAUGGGCCCGCGGUGCAUUAGCUUGUUGGUGGGGUAAUGGCCUACCAAGGCGACGAUGCAUAGCCGACCUGAGAGGGUGACCGGCCACACUGGGACUGAGACACGGCCCAGACUCCUACGGGAGGCUG